RNAcentral lists this ribosomal RNA (274 nucleotides) under uncultured bacterium. RNAcentral describes it as "partial 16S ribosomal RNA". It matches the Rfam family "Bacterial small subunit ribosomal RNA", at positions 523 to 796 of the family's 1533-position model. The record is from RNAcentral.
AUACGGAUGGUGCGAGCGUUAAUCGGAAUUACUGGGCGUAAAGCGUACGUAGGCGGUUUGCUAAGUCAGAUGUGAAAGCCCCGGGCUUAACCUGGGAACUGCAUUUGAUACUGGCAGACUAGAGUAUGAUAGAGGGGGGUAGAAUUCCUGGUGUAGCGGUGAAAUGCGUAGAUAUCAGGAGGAAUACCAGUGGCGAAGGCGGCCCCCUGGAUCAAUACUGACGCUGAGGUACGAAAGCGUGGGGAGCGAACAGGAUUAGAAACCCUAGUAGUCC